Molecule: ribosomal RNA, 210 nt
Filed under: Solenopsis sp. 15 GR-2021
Lineage: Eukaryota; Metazoa; Arthropoda; Insecta; Hymenoptera; Formicidae
Description: partial large subunit ribosomal RNA
Source: RNAcentral
GAAUUUAAUAUAUUUUUAUUAGAUUGGAUUUAUGUUGAAGGAAAUAAAAAGAUAUUUUAUUGGGAGGAUAGUUAAAUGUUUAAAACUUUAAUUGAAAUUUAAAUAUAGAUUAAUAAAUUUUAGAAUGGUUAUGAGAUUAAUUAAGAAUUAAUUACCUUAGGGAUAACAGCGUAAUAUUUUUGGAGAGUUCAUAUUGAUAAAAAUGUUUGC